GGCAUCACAUGAAGUAGCAAUACGGAUGGUGGCGACCGGCGCACGGGUGAGUAACACGUAUGCAACCUGCCUUCAACAAGGGGAUAACCCGUUGAAAGACGGACUAAUACCCUAUAACACAGGGGCCCCGCAUGGGGAUAUUUGUUAAAGAUUAAUCGGUUGAAGAUGGGCAUGCGUUCCAUUAGCUAGUUGGUGGGGUAAUGGCCCACCAAGGCAACGAUGGAUAGGGGAACUGAGAGGUUUAUCCCCCACACUGGUACUGAGACACGGACCAGACUCCUACGGGAGGCAGCAGUGAGGAAUAUUGGUCAAUGGACGCAAGUCUGAACCAGCCACGUCGCGUGAAGGAAGACGGCCCUACGGGUUGUAAACUUCUUUUGCAAGGGAAUAAAGUGAGUCACGUGUGACUUUUUGCAAGUACCUUGCGAAUAAGGAUCGGCUAACUCCGUGCCAGCAGCCGCGGUAAUACGGAGGAUCCGAGCGUUAUCCGGAUUUAUUGGGUUUAAAGGGUGCUCAGGCGGGCGAUUAAGUCGGCGGUGAAAUUUUGCGGCUCAACCGUAAAAAUGCCUUCGAAACUGGUUGCCU
RNAcentral lists this ribosomal RNA (585 nucleotides) under uncultured bacterium. RNAcentral's name for it is "bacterial SSU rRNA". It matches the Rfam family "Bacterial small subunit ribosomal RNA", at positions 68 to 642 of the family's 1533-position model. The record is from RNAcentral.